Molecule: long non-coding RNA, 2685 nt
Organism: Mustela erminea (ermine)
Lineage: Eukaryota; Metazoa; Chordata; Mammalia; Carnivora; Mustelidae
Exons: 2
Source: RefSeq, a predicted model, not a curated record
GUAAUCUUCUCAGCUUCAUUAGGACUACUAAAAGUAAAUGAUCUGUCAGUUCUUUGUAUGUAUCCUAUUAUAGUUCAUAGCUCUCUCUGUGGGGGUGAAAAAGAUCACAUUAUUCUUUGUCACUAAAUGAAAAUAUUUUAGUUAUUUAAUUUAUGCCCUUUUCAUUGAACUGAAUCUAAUAUGCUAAAUUAGGGAAGUACUUUACGUUUCCGUGUCGUUAAAUGAACUGUGGCCACGUUUGUAUUUUAAGUUUGUAUGCUUGUCAUUCACCUCCUGCAACUCAGCCUCACCAAAAAAAAAUAAAAUACUAAAGCAAAAUAAGAUGUGUUUUCUUCCAUCACUUUCCAUCUCAGCCCUUUCCCUGUUCUGGAGACGGUAGAGGAUAAGGCCAGGGUGAAGAUGGUACAGAGCUGUUGUCUGCAGAUACAGUAUUUCGCUUUUAAGCUCAGAAGGGAAGCAGAUGAGUGUGUGUGAUGUUUUAGCUUCAGGCCAGUCUCUGUCCCUCAGCCUCUGUGUCCCCCAGGGUUGGAGCAGUAUUCCCAAAUCCCGGGACCUAGAUUUUCAUGCCGUUGCUACUUACCUCCUGUUUAGAAAGCAUACUGAGUGGGGAGGAGGAAGGACGAAGUGCAUUUUUAAGGUUUACUCGAUUCUUUUCUCUGUAGUGUAUAGUUCAUACUUCUCUUUUAGGUGCUUUAAAAACAAACAAAAACACAAACAAACAAACAAACAAAUAAAUAAAUAAAAAUAAAACGCUCUUCCUUCUGCUAGGUGAUUGUAGAGCAGAUCGUUGAGUCUCAUCCGACGGCCUGAAGAUCAUGUAUGCUAAUAAGCUCCUGGAGUUCGUUCCUCACCACUGCCGCCUUCUUCGAGAGGUCACAGGAGGAGCCAUCUCAAGCCCUCAGCUGUCCCACCUGCCCAGAGCUCUGCAGCCUUCCUGAGUCGCUCGUGGCUUCUCAUCGCCCACAGAGGAGCAUCCAGUCUUCCUGGCGCAACCUGUGACCCUUGGUGCUUGAGUCCUAGUGGUUCUCCGCUGUAGAACUUUCUACUGUGGAACUUUCCCCCAUACCACUAUGGUUCCUGGCCAGACAGGAGCGCUUGACCUUCCCUAACACACCUGGUACAGAAGAUCCCUGACUUCACCUUGGUUCAGUUUAUGGUUUUUUGACUUUUUAUAAUAGUGCAGAAGUGAUAUGCAUUUAGUUUGGAUCUUUUCCCAGGCUGGCGAUCUACAGUAGGGUCCUCUUUUGUAAUGCUGGGCAGGGGCAGCGAGCACAGCCCCCAGGCAAACCACGUGAUCACGAGGGUCAGCAACCAACACACUUGAACCGUCCUGUUCUGGCUUUCAGUGCAGUGUUCAGUAAGUUACAUGAGAUACCAGACACUUUAUUGUGAAAUAGGCUUUGUGUUAGAGGAUUUUGCCCAACUGUGCAAUACUGUAAGUGUUCUCAACACAUUUAAGUUUGGCGGGGCUAAGCUCUGAUGUUCAGUCGCUUAGGUGUUUUCCAUGCAUUUUCAACUAAAGAGAUUUCCAGCUGAACAAUGGGUUUAUUAGAAGCCGAGGCCGUCAUAAGCCGAGGAACAUCUGUCUAUACUGUGCGCCUCUGUGUUUUCCUUCAUUGCUUCCUGUCUCAUAUCCCUUUGUCUUUCUGUUGAUCUGUCACUCCACAUGAAGCUCCAGUCAAAUACAACUUCUUUUUUUUUUUAGGUUAUUUAUUUAUUUACUUAUUAGAGAAAGCAUAAGCAGAGGGGGAGGCAAAGAGUGAAGCAGGCUCCCCACUGAGCAGGGAGCCCGAUGUGGGACUCGAUCCCAGGACCCUGAGAUCAUGACCUGAGCCACCCAAGCGCCCCCAGGCUAUGGUUAUUUCAAGAAAAAGUCCUAUUUGUGAAUUCUUCAUCUAGUGAAGAUGAAUUAAAAUCAGAAAGUCAACUCUGCCACCUUUAAAAACCCAGGAACAGAAAAAAAUUCCACGAGCAGGUAUAACCCUAUCCACAAUAAAUCACUUUCAAUCCAGUCCUGAAAACUAAUACAGAGUAGGAAGAAAGCAUUACAGAAAAAUUUUGUUUUCAUUAAUCAAGCUGGAAAAUAACGGGCCUUACACGAAUGCCCUUUAGGAAGACAGUUCUUAUAGUUUUAUGUUGAUGGAAACUAACAUUACAUUCGAAAUGCAUGUUAAAACCAUGACUGUAGACUAACUACCACUUUCAGUCGUCAGAAGAUGAAAAAUGGUCAAGAGUCACCCAAACUGAAUCCUGGUUCCUCCUGGAAAAUGUGUUCCUAAAUAUUUUCCCCCUGAACUACUGUGCUCUUUCUGUAUCUUACACAGCAGACACUGCGAUGCACAAACACAUCCAGAAGGCCUUUGAGGGCUGACAGCCUGCUGGAACAAUGAGGAAUUCACCCGGGUUUCUGCCUUUCUGCCGGGCCCAGAAAGUUCUGGGUAACCCAGGUGACGUGUCAUGAGAAUACAAGUGUGCCUCACACCGUACGUAUCAUCUCCUCAGGGUAGACACCAAAAUCCAUGUUCGUAUAUGAAAAUCCGAGAUGCGUACAGAAAUCAAGAGUGAUUCUGUCAUCUUGAAAGAAAAACACACUGUUGCGCUGCCACAUGCCUCGUUUCUCCUCGAGUGACUGCAGGAAGUAGCGAUUGCAGUCAGAAAUCUCAGAAAGAAAAAUUAGAGUAAGGG